This 490-nucleotide ribosomal RNA is filed under the name uncultured bacterium. Its description in RNAcentral is "partial 16S ribosomal RNA". It matches the Rfam family "Bacterial small subunit ribosomal RNA", at positions 28 to 507 of the family's 1533-position model. The record is from RNAcentral.
GAUGAACGCUAGCGAUAGGCUUAACACAUGCAAGUCGAGGGGCAGCAUGGUCUUAGCUUGCUAAGACUGAUGGCGACCGGCGCACGGGUGCGUAACGCGUAUGCAACUUGCCUCACAGAGGGGGAUAACCCGUCGAAAGACGGACUAAUACCGCGUACACUUGGGAUAGGGCAUCCUGACCCAAGGAAAUGAAAUUCGCUGUGAGAUAGGCAUGCGUCCCAUUAGCUAGUUGGUGAGGUAACGGCUCACCAAGGCGACGAUGGGUAGGGGAACUGAGAGGUUGAACCCCCACACUGGUACUGAGACACGGACCAGACUCCUACGGGAGGCAGCAGUGAGGAAUAUUGGUCAAUGGGCGAGAGCCUGAACCAGCCAAGUCGCGUGAAGGAUGACUGUCUUAUGGAUCGUAAACUUCUUUUAUACGGGAAUAACAAGAGCCACGUGUGGCUCCCUGCAUGUACCGUAUGAAUAAGCAUCGGCUAACUCCGUG